UACGGAGGGUGCGAGCGUUGUCCGGAAUUAUUGGGCGUAAAGAGCUCGUAGGCGGUCUGUCACGUCGGGAGUGAAAACACGGGGCUUAACCCCGUGCCUGCUUCCGAUACGGGCAGACUAGAGGUAUGCAGGGGAGAACGGAAUUCCUGGUGUAGCGGUGAAAUGCGCAGAUAUCAGGAGGAACACCGGUGGCGAAGGCGGUUCUCUGGGCAUUACCUGACGCUGAGGAGCGAAAGUGUGGGGAGCGAACAGG
This 253-nucleotide ribosomal RNA is filed under the name uncultured bacterium. RNAcentral's name for it is "partial 16S ribosomal RNA". It matches the Rfam family "Bacterial small subunit ribosomal RNA", at positions 524 to 776 of the family's 1533-position model. The record is from RNAcentral.